Molecule: ribosomal RNA, 497 nt
Filed under: uncultured bacterium
Lineage: Bacteria
Description: partial 16S ribosomal RNA
Rfam family: Bacterial small subunit ribosomal RNA
Source: RNAcentral
GAUGAACGCUGGCGGCGUGCCUAAUACAUGCAAGUCGAGCGAACGGACGAGAAGCUUGCUUCUCUGAUGUUAGCGGCGGACGGGUGAGUAACACGUGGAUAACCUACCUAUAAGACUGGGAUAACUUCGGGAAACCGUAGCUAAUACCGGAUAAUAUUUUGAACCGCAUGGUUCAAAAGUGAAAGACGGUCUUGCUGUCACUUAUAGAUGGAUCCGCGCUGCAUUAGCUAGUUGGUAAGGUAACGGCUUACCAAGGCAACGAUGCAUAGCCGACCUGAGAGGGUGAUCGGCCACACUGGAACUGAGACACGGUCCAGACUCCCACGGGAGGCAGCAGUAGGGAAUCUUCCGCCAUGGGCGGAAGCCUGACGGAGCAACGCCGCGUGAGUGAUGAAGGGCUUCGGAUCGUAAAACUCUGUUAUUAGGGAAGAACAUAUGUGUAAGUAACUGUGCACAUCUUGACGGUACCUAAUCAGAAAGCCACGGCUAACUACGUG